Acinonyx jubatus (cheetah) is the source of this 978-nucleotide long non-coding RNA. RefSeq lists it as uncharacterized. Lineage: Eukaryota; Metazoa; Chordata; Mammalia; Carnivora; Felidae. The record is from RefSeq and is a predicted model, not a curated record. The transcript is spliced from 2 exons.
CCCACCCCAACCUGGCAUGGCUUAGAUAUCGGUCACUAUUUGACUUUAAAAAUACAAGAUAAAGAGGGACGGGGAGGGAGAGGACAAGAUCUAGAAGCAACAAUGUUUUGUACACACAGCAGGUUGUCGGGUGCCCCCACACUGGUGAGUCAGCCUGAUCCUUGCCCUGGGGGAGGGAAGAAAAAGCCCCAUUUAUCAAUCUCCACCCGCUGCGGGCACCACUCCCGGCCACUUACAAACCUUAUCACGUCGGAUCCCCACCACACAUUUGGGAGCUGGUGAGGAAGCAACUCUGAGCAGAAGUUGACAGAAGAGGAAAGAGAGGCCCAGAGAAGAGCAGGCAGGUGCUAAGGAGGCCAGCCUCCACUCUGGCGGGCAUAGAGGUCCGGGACUGGCCUGCCUCCCUCUGCAGGAGACCCUGGGCCUGGGAUGUGCCCUGUCUGUUCCUGUUUCCUCUGCCUGACCUGGAUCUGACCCGACGCUCACCUACUGCCCAAAUCCUGCACCUGGCUGGUGGAGUAGCUAAGGCUGGGCUUAUAAUAGCCCUUUUCUGGGUACCUUUGGACUCAUGAGUGCCGGGAGCCGGGCCAGUAGGUCCAAGGGCCCACGACCUGAUCCUACUCCCUCGAGAAGCUCUUAGAGCCCCCAUGGCACCUGGGGUAGGCAACCAUGCCCCAGCCACAGAGGGAAACUGAGGACCUCUGACUUUAGCCCGGAGGGGAAGUCAGAGAUCUCUUAGGUUAUCUUCAGGACGGCAGAAGAAAUGAAACCAAUGUAAUUCUACUUCUGGGGCCCCUGGGUGGCUCAGUUAAGCAUCUGACUCUGGAUUUCGGCUCAGAUCGUGAUCUCACCGUUCAUGGGAUCAAGCCCUGUGUCAAGCCCCACGCUGAAAGCAAGGAUCCUGCUUGGGAUUCUCUCUCCUCCUCUCUCUGCCCCUCCCCCACUUGUGCACACGCACAUGUGCUCUCUCUCUCUGUC